This 460-nucleotide ribosomal RNA is filed under the name uncultured bacterium. RNAcentral describes it as "partial 16S ribosomal RNA". It matches the Rfam family "Bacterial small subunit ribosomal RNA", at positions 338 to 795 of the family's 1533-position model. The record is from RNAcentral.
CCUACGGGUGGCAGCAGUGAGGAAUAUUGGUCAAUGGUCGCGAGACUGAACCAGCCAAGUAGCGUGAAGGAUGACUGCCCUGAGUAUUGUAAACUUCUUUUAUAAAGGAAUAAAGUGAGGCACGUGUGCCUUUUUGUAUGUACUUUAUGAAUAAGCAUCGGCUACCUCCGUGCCAGCAGCCGCGGUAAUACGGAGGAUCCGAGCGUUAUCCGGAUUUAUUGGGUUUAAAGGGAGCGGAGAUGGGUUUGUAAGUCAGUUGUGAAAGUUUGGGGCUCAACCGUAAAAUUGCAAUUGAUACUGGCAGUCUUGAGUACAGGUGAGGUAGGCGGAAUGCGUGGUGUAGCGGUGAAAUGCUUAGAUAUCACGAAGAACUCCGAUUGCGAAGGCAGCUUACUAAACUGCCACUGACAUUGAGGCUCGAAAGUGUGGGUAUCAAACAGGAUUAGAUACCCCAGUAGUC